Molecule: non-coding RNA, 219 nt
Organism: Pelobates cultripes (western spadefoot toad)
Lineage: Eukaryota; Metazoa; Chordata; Amphibia; Anura; Pelobatidae
Source: the annotation of a GenBank genome assembly
AGGGAAGAGGUGACUAGUGACAGAGUGAGGGGAUGACUGGUGACAGAGGGAGGGAGUGACUAGUGACAGAGGGAGGAGGGGGUGACUGUCACUAGUCACCCCAUCCCUCUCUCUGUCACUAGUCACUCCCUCCCUAACUCUGUCACUAGUCACCCCCCCUCACUCUGUCACUAGUCACCCCCUCCCUCACUCUGUCACUAAUCACCCCCUCUGUCCCUA